Non-coding RNA from Podarcis lilfordi (Lilford's wall lizard), 74 nucleotides. The record is from the annotation of a GenBank genome assembly. NCBI's taxonomy places the organism in Eukaryota, Metazoa, Chordata, Lepidosauria, Squamata, Lacertidae.
GAAAUAUUAUUUCAGUUGGUUAGAGAAUGGUGCUCCUAAUGCCACGGUUGCAAGUUCCAUCCUUGUAUGGGGCA